CCUGCUUCCAGGAAAAGCCUCUAAGCAUCAGGUAACAUCAAAUCGUACCCCAAACCGACACAGGUGGUCAGGUAGAGAAUACCAAGGCGCUUGAGAGAACUCGGGUGAAGGAACUAGGCAAAAUGGUGCCGUAACUUCGGGAGAAGGCACGCUGAUAUGUAGGUGAGGUCCCUCGCGGAUGGAGCUGAAAUCAGUCGAAGAUACCAGCUGGCUGCAACUGUUUAUUAAAAACACAGCACUGUGCAAACACGAAAGUGGACGUAUACGGUGUGACGCCUGCCCGGUGCCGGAAGGUUAAUUGAUGGGGUUAGCGCAAGCGAAGCUCUUGAUCGAAGCCCCGGUAAACGGCGGCCGUAACUAUAACGGUCCUAAGGUAGCGAAAUUCCUUGUCGGGCAAGUUCCGACCUGCACGAAUGGCGUAAUGAUGGCCAGGCUGUCUCCACCCGAGACUCAGUGAAAUUGAACUCGCUGUGAAGAUGCAGUGUACCCGCGGCAAGACGGAAAGACCCCGUGAACCUUUACUAUAGCUUGACACUGAACAUUGAGCCUUGAUGUGUAGGAUAGGUGGGAGGCUUGGAAGUGUGGACGCCAGUCUGCAUGGAGCCGACCUUGAAAUACCACCCUUUAAUGUUUGAUGUUCUAACGUUGACCCGUAAUCCGGGUUGCGGACAGUGUCUGGUGGGUAGUUUGACUGGGGCGGUCUCCUCCUAAAGAGUAACGGAGGAGCACGAAGGUUGGCUAAUCCUGGUCGGACAUCAGGAGGUUAGUGCAAUGGCAUAAGCCAGCUUGACUGCGAGCGUGACGGCGCGAGCAGGUGCGAAAGCAGGUCAUAGUGAUCCGGUGGUUCUGAAUGGAAGGGCCAUCGCUCAACGGAUAAAAGGUACUCCGGGGAUAACAGGCUGAUACCGCCCAAGAGUUCAUAUCGACGGCGGUGUUUGGCACCUCGAUGUCGGCUCAUCACAUCCUGGGGCUGAAGUAGGUCCCAAGGGUAUGGCUGUUCGCCAUUUAAAGUGGUACGCGAGCUGGGUUUAGAACGUCGUGAGACAGUUCGGUCCCUAUCUGCCGUGGGCGCUGGAGAACUGAGGGGGGCUGCUCCUAGUACGAGAGGACCGGAGUGGACGCAUCACUGGUGUUCGGGUUGUCAUGCCAAUGGCACUGCCCGGUAGCUAAAUGCGGAAGAGAUAAGUGCUGAAAGCAUCUAAGCACGAAACUUGCCCCGAGAUGAGUUCUCCCUGACUCUUUGAGAGUCCUGAAGGAACGUUGAAGACGACGACGUUGAUAGGCCGGGUGUGUAAGCGCAGCGAUGCGUUGAGCUAACCGGUACUAAUGAACCGUGAGGCUUAACCU
RNAcentral lists this ribosomal RNA (1347 nucleotides) under Escherichia coli P0305260.1. Its description in RNAcentral is "bacterial LSU rRNA". It matches the Rfam family "Bacterial large subunit ribosomal RNA", at positions 1601 to 2925 of the family's 2925-position model. Lineage: Bacteria; Pseudomonadati; Pseudomonadota; Gammaproteobacteria; Enterobacterales; Enterobacteriaceae. The record is from RNAcentral.